AUGGUGGUUCUCAAGCUGGAUUUCCAAAAGGCGUUCGACACUGUCAGCUGGGCCUGUCUCUUCAGCAUUCUUCAAGCCCACGGUUUCCCUUCAAAAUGGAUCAGCUGGAUCUCAUCGCUCUUGGCCACGGCUAGUUCAAGAAUCAUGCUUAAUGGUAGGCUUGGUGAGUCUUUCGUUGCAAGGAGAGGGUUUCGCCAGGGCGACUCCAUCUCACCAUACAUAUUCAUUUUAGUCGCUGAUGUCCUAUAG
This 249-nucleotide ribosomal RNA is filed under the name Triticum aestivum (bread wheat). RNAcentral's name for it is "partial small subunit ribosomal RNA". The record is from RNAcentral. Lineage: Eukaryota; Viridiplantae; Streptophyta; Magnoliopsida; Poales; Poaceae.